RNAcentral lists this unclassified non-coding RNA (329 nucleotides) under soil metagenome. RNAcentral describes it as "partial contains 5.8S ribosomal RNA, internal transcribed spacer 2, and large subunit ribosomal RNA". The stretch from base 1 to 120 matches the Rfam family "5.8S ribosomal RNA", at positions 35 to 154 of the family's 154-position model. The record is from RNAcentral.
GAUGAAGAACGUAGCGAAAUGCGAUAAGUAAUGUGAAUUGCAGAAUUCAGUGAAUCAUCGAAUCUUUGAACGCACAUUGCGCCCCUUGGUAUUCCGAGGGGCAUGCCUGUUCGAGCGUCAUUAUAACCCCUCAAGCUCAGCUUGGUGUUGGGGCCUGCUGCACUGGCAGCCCUUAAAAUCAGUGGCGUCGCCAUCUGGCUCUAAGCGUAGUAAUUCUUCUCGCUAUGGAGUCCUGGUGGAUGCUUGCCAUCAACCCCCAAUUUUUCUAUGGUUGACCUCGGAUCAGGUAGGGAUACCCGCUGAACUUAAGCAUAUCAAUAAGCGGAGGA